This 72-nucleotide transfer RNA is filed under the name Camelus bactrianus (Bactrian camel). It matches the Rfam family "tRNA". Rfam says of the family: Transfer RNA (tRNA) molecules are approximately 80 nucleotides in length. Their secondary structure includes four short double-helical elements and three loops (D, anti-codon, and T loops). RNAcentral also lists the same sequence under 3 other names. Lineage: Eukaryota; Metazoa; Chordata; Mammalia; Artiodactyla; Camelidae. The record is from Rfam by way of RNAcentral.
GUGGGUGUAGUUCAGUGGCAGAGUGCAUACUUAGCAUGUAGGAAGUCCUGGGUUCAAUCCCCAGUACCUCCG